Long non-coding RNA from Mercurialis annua (annual mercury), 5252 nucleotides. RefSeq lists it as uncharacterized. The transcript is spliced from 7 exons. The record is from RefSeq and is a predicted model, not a curated record. NCBI's taxonomy places the organism in Eukaryota, Viridiplantae, Streptophyta, Magnoliopsida, Malpighiales, Euphorbiaceae.
ACCAAAAUUAUCGUAAAAUAAUAAUUUAAGUAUAAAUUAUUAUUCGAUGAAUUGGAUUUUAGCGGGACUAAAGGAUAAUUAAUACAUUAAAUAAAAUAAAUGGUAAGUCCCGAGUUAAUAAAUUUUACGAUAAAGUUCGUAAAAUAAAUUCAAGGAGCUAAGAUUUAAUUUUAUAGAAAUUGGAUGAAAGCAUUUUAUUAAACGGAAUUUUGAUUAUCGGAAAAAGAAAAAGGACAUAAAUAAAUUAUUUAGACCCGGAUAAAUAAAUAAUGCGAUAGAGUCCGUUAUUUAUCAAUAAAGAAUAAUCGUCAAAGUUCCGUUUAAUUAUGAUAACAUUUUGGAAUAUAAUUGGAAAAAUUAAAAGUUGAGCGUUUAAAUCGAAAGUUAUUAAAAUAAAUUAUCGGAAAAUAUAGUAAUGAGGUAGCGGAAUAAUAUUAUUUAUUUGGAUAUAAAUAAUACGGAAUUUAUCGAGAUCGGACAGUUAAAGGAUUAAUGGAUUAAAUUGGAUGAAAGAAAAGUUGGAAAUUGAAACGAAUGGAGGUGGCAACUUAAAGGACCAAGAGGAGUAUUUUUCCAACCUAUACAUAAGUGUUGCAAAUGAAUUGUUUUUCAUUUUCUACCUCAUUUCCAGCAAGAACUUUGAGAGAAGAAGAGUUCAUCAUCUUCAUUAUUCCAUAAUCUUCUAAACCUCACCAAAGCUUCGUUUCUUAUCCGAUUUACGUGAUUCUUGCGGCAACGGAAAGAGGAAGACGAUAGCUACAAAUCUUGGCCAUCAAUUCAAGAUAACGGUUUGGAGUGGUUUUUGUUGCGUUGGAUUGAGGAAAUAAAUAUCUACCAUCUAAGGGUUGUAAAUCAAGACCCGGCGAGACGAUUACUAACGGGACUCGGAACGUGACGAACGCGAUACCGUUUUACGAAUUCUCGAAGAUUAUGGUUAGCAAGUGUGUUUUGUUUCAGGUGAUAGUAUUUGAAGAGAUGGACUUCCAUUCUUGUUCCGGAAGUCUACAACAUAUAAAGUAUGUAUUGAAGUACGCUUCAAUUCGUAGCGCUGCAGUAGUCAGUAGAUGUCAGUCUAUAUUUGAUUGUUUGUACCGAACGAGAUCCAGCUGUUAACUCUGAUUUUAUAAAAUAUAUAUAUAUAUAUAUAUACGAUUUAUAAAAUUAUGUUUUUACCCGUUUGAUAUUUCACCAAUUGUCUAUGAAUGAAAUUGGUAUGAAAUUGUAUGAUUCGGAACAAGGCAAUGCUGAGUUAUGUUAUCGCAGAGUAAGACCUUAGUUCCAAUCGAUUAUGCAUCGGUUAUGAAAGAACGUUUUCGACGAUUAUGAAAUAUUGUUUUACGAAGUUUUCCCGAAAACGUUUUGUGCAUAAUUUUGUGUUUGAUUUGCGGAAAAAAAAAAAAUUACUCGUUUUUAGGCUUGCUACGGGUUCCGGAGCAACCACUCCCGUUCCCUAGCGCCGGUCUCGACCCUCGAUUUUGGGUCGUGACAAAGGUGGUAUCAGAGCAGUUGGUCCAGGAUACCACUGCUUUGUGUGUGAGUCUACCUAGGAACUACUGCAGCAUAUAAGAUUCCAGUCAUGUCUUUGAUCAGUUUCCAUUUGAUUUUAAAACUUCCAACUCUCCUCUCUAGGAUGCGAGUCUGUUUAUACGUUUGAUUAGAUUGAUUGACGAGAUACGCAUGCGUAGAUAUUCCGUUUAUGCCUAGAUAUUUGGCUUAUGUAUAGAUGCAUCGCCUAAGCGUUGAUAUGCCGUUUUUGCGUUUAGAUUUGAAUAUGGAUAUAUGCUUGUCAUGUUAGUAUAACAUAGUCAUGCUGCGAUUGUUGUGAGUUAGGACAUGCAAACUAGAUAAUUAGUAUUCGUACGAUUAAAUGACGAAUUUACUGUAUCAAGCAUCGUGCGAUACAAACAUGCUAUCGAAGUCCUACGAUGGAGACACUAAGGGAUGAUCGAUCGAAAGGCGUGGAUCCAAGGAAGUGGAAGAACCUUCAAGUUACAGAGUCUAAAGUCUGGAGAACUUACAAAACUAAAGAUUUAUAACUUGUUCAAAGUUAUUUGUUUAAACGGUUUUAUAAGCAUAAUUGUGCCUAGACCCAAGAUAGAAUUGCAUUACUGCCAUGACAUAACUAGAAUUACAUCACUACAUACAUGAAUGCACGCAUCAAUAGGACAUGCAUCAUAUGCAUUUUUCUCAGACAAGGAGUAAGUUAUGGCAACUCUUUGGGGAUGAGAGAUGUCAUCACCCUAGGGCACAAUUAUGCUAAUGUUUAAAAGAUUUAAAUAUGAUUUUCGAAAAAGGGCCCUUUCCUUUGAAUUUCAAGGAUGAUUGAAUUAUGAUUUAAAGAGAUUUGUUUUAAUGUAAGUAUACCUAGACUGGAACUCUGUAACGAAGGUGAAAUAUUUGCUAUCAAGCUACAAGAAACUCUCGAAGACACAACGAACGUGUAUAAGAGCGUGUAGGAGUUACAUUUUGAAAAGGCACGAAGCUAGCCGAAGUUCCACAAUCCAUUACAGGAUUAGAAGAACAAGGUGACACAAGUAGUAAAGUGAAAAAGAUUGAACGAUGAAUUAGGAUGCACCUAUUUUUAAACGAGGUGAUUAGAGAAUCAUGCUACAAAACAAUAGAAGUAUGAAAGGUGAUAGUUGAACUUAGUAACCGACCCAUAGCUUAAACAUUAAAGAUAGAAGAUAAUCUCUACGAAUGGAUGACGCGAAUUUUACUCGAUAUGAAAAGAUCAUUAAAUCUAGUAAGACUAAGAUAUCUUUUGAUUGAACCGUUGGAUCGGUUUAGCAUCGGAGUAUGAUGUCUCUAAGAAGGUUGACUAGAAGUUAACCGUUCCGAUCGUCGAACGGAGAAUGAAGUGGCAGUUUUCAUUAGAACACUGAUGGAAAAAGUAUAUGGGUGAUCAGUCUAGAAGACGAACUGCGAUUCUAUAAAGUAUAUAAGGAUUACGAACAUAAGAUACAUGUAAGAUAUGUAUGGUGUGAAAAACAUGAUUAAUGAAGUUAAAUGAUGGAUUGCAUAAAUUGUAUGCUAAGAAGUUGUAAGACUAGGCAGCAUGUUUUGCAGUUAAGACAUUCGGACCUACAGAUUAAAGGACAAGUAUACGUACGAGGAACAUAUACAAGUAUAAGAUUAUAAGAUCUGCAUAUGAAUGACAUAGAGCGAGAAGCUUAGUACGAAAACUAUGAAAGGUUUUCGAUGAUCUUUUCACGGGAACGUAAGCGAUGAUUAUCGAAAUGUAAGAUACACGAGAUGGCGAAGAUCAUGUCAAGGAUAUAAAGUUUAAAGGUUCAUAAGUUGAAAUCAAUGAAGGAGUUAGAAUAAAAUUAAUGUUUAAGAUAUGUAACAAGUUAAGGACGAAGGUGUAAAUAACAAGGAGAUAUUAUCUUUUCAAUCUACGACCAACUUGAGUGAAGUUAAGUAUCAUAAAAAGGAAAGUAAUGAUAAAAUAAGGGACACAAGGUCAAGGUCAGUUAAAACUACAAGUGAAGAAAUUACUUUGGAUAAGUAAUUUGAGUAAUGGAAAAAUUUAGAAACUUUGCUCACGACAAGUAAGUGGAAGAUCAUUAACAAAUGACGAUGUGAAAAGUUUCAAGAACACAAUGGAUGGUAAUGGUGAAAGUGUAAUCAUACUCGGGAAGGAAAAGUAUAAGAAGUAAGACUUUAGAACUUAAUAAGGAGCAAUAAAAAAAAUUGCUAAGGAGUGUAAUGCUCGUUGGGUAAGAGUAUUACGAUAGUUAUGAAAAUUCGAGGACGAAUUUUUAUAAGGGGGGAAGAAUGUAAUACCCCGUACUUUUAAAAGUACAAAGUAAGAUGCCACGGGGCAUAAGUGCAAGAAUUAAGUCAAGGACAUUGGAAUUAAGUUCGAGAAAUAGAAAAUUAGACCGAAGAGGGUCUACCAAAAUUAUCGUAAAAUAAUAAUUUAAGUAUAAAUUAUUAUUCGAUGAAUUGGAUUUUAGCGGGACUAAAGGAUAAUUAAUACAUUAAAUAAAAUAAAUGGUAAGUCCCGAGUUAAUAAAUUUUACGAUAAAGUUCGUAAAAUAAAUUCAAGGAGCUAAGAUUUAAUUUUAUAGAAAUUGGAUGAAAGCAUUUUAUUAAACGGAAUUUUGAUUAUCGGAAAAAGAAAAAGGACAUAAAUAAAUUAUUUAGACCCGGAUAAAUAAAUAAUGCGAUAGAGUCCGUUAUUUAUCAAUAAAGAAUAAUCGUCAAAGUUCCGUUUAAUUAUGAUAACAUUUUGGAAUAUAAUUGGAAAAAUUAAAAGUUGAGCGUUUAAAUCGAAAGUUAUUAAAAUAAAUUAUCGGAAAAUAUAGUAAUGAGGUAGCGGAAUAAUAUUAUUUAUUUGGAUAUAAAUAAUACGGAAUUUAUCGAGAUCGGACAGUUAAAGGAUUAAUGGAUUAAAUUGGAUGAAAGAAAAGUUGGAAAUUGAAACGAAUGGAGGUGGCAACUUAAAGGACCAAGAGGAGUAUUUUUCCAACCUAUACAUAAGUGUUGCAAAUGAAUUGUUUUUCAUUUUCUACCUCAUUUCCAGCAAGAACUUUGAGAGAAGAAGAGUUCAUCAUCUUCAUUAUUCCAUAAUCUUCUAAACCUCACCAAAGCUUCGUUUCUUAUCCGAUUUACGUGAUUCUUGCGGCAACGGAAAGAGGAAGACGAUAGCUACAAAUCUUGGCCAUCAAUUCAAGAUAACGGUUUGGAGUGGUUUUUGUUGCGUUGGAUUGAGGAAAUAAAUAUCUACCAUCUAAGGGUUGUAAAUCAAGACCCGGCGAGACGAUUACUAACGGGACUCGGAACGUGACGAACGCGAUACCGUUUUACGAAUUCUCGAAGAUUAUGGUUAGCAAGUGUGUUUUGUUUCAGGUGAUAGUAUUUGAAGAGAUGGACUUCCAUUCUUGUUCCGGAAGUCUACAACAUAUAAAGUAUGUAUUGAAGUACGCUUCAAUUCGUAGCGCUGCAGUAGUCAGUAGAUGUCAGUCUAUAUUUGAUUGUUUGUACCGAACGAGAUCCAGCUGUUAACUCUGAUUUUAUAAAAUAUAUAUAUAUAUAUAUAUACGAUUUAUAAAAUUAUGUUUUUACCCGUUUGAUAUUUCACCAAUUGUCUAUGAAUGAAAUUGGUAUGAAAUUGUAUGAUUCGGAACAAGGCAAUGCUGAGUUAUGUUAUCGCAGAGUAAGACCUUAGUUCCAAUCGAUUAUGCAUCGGUUAUGAAAGAACGUUUUCGACGAUUAUGAAAUAUUGUUUUACGAAGUUUUCCCGAAAA